This 234-nucleotide ribosomal RNA is filed under the name uncultured bacterium. RNAcentral describes it as "partial 16S ribosomal RNA". It matches the Rfam family "Bacterial small subunit ribosomal RNA", at positions 28 to 258 of the family's 1533-position model. The record is from RNAcentral.
GACGAACGCUGGCGGCGUGCUUAACACAUGCAAGUCGAGCGGUAAGGCCCUUCGGGUACACGAGCGCGAACGGUGAGUAACACGUGGUGACCUGCCCUCAGCUCUGGGAUAAGCCUGGGAAACCGGGUCUAAUACCGGAUAUGACCAUUGAAUGCAUGUCUGGUGGUGAAAGCCAGUUACUUUUGUUCUGGCGGCUGGGGAUGGGCCCGCGGCCUAUCAGCUUGNGGUGGGUGA